Molecule: ribosomal RNA, 489 nt
Filed under: uncultured bacterium
Lineage: Bacteria
Description: bacterial SSU rRNA
Rfam family: Bacterial small subunit ribosomal RNA
Source: RNAcentral
GAUGAACGCUAGCUACAGGCUUAACACAUGCAAGUCAGGGGCAGCAUGAAUUUACUUCGGUAAAUUUGAUGGCGACCGGCGCACGGGUGCGUAACGCGUAUCCAACCUUCCCGUUACUCAGGGAUAGCCUUCCGAAAGGGAGAUUAAUACCUGAUGGUGUUCAAAUUCCGCAUGUUAUUUGAACUAAAGAUUUAUCGGUAACGGAUGGGGAUGCGUGACAUUAGAUAGUAGGCGGGGUAACGGCCCACCUAGUCUACGAUGUCUAGGGGUUCUGAGAGGAAGGUCCCCCACACUGGAACUGAGACACGGUCCAGACUCCUACGGGAGGCAGCAGUGAGGAAUAUUGGUCAAUGGUCGGAAGACUGAACCAGCCAAGUAGCGUGAAGGAUGAAGGUUCUAUGGAUUGUAAACUUCUUUUAUACGGGAAUAAAACCUCCCACGUGUGGGAGCUUGUAUGUACCGUAUGAAUAAGCAUCGGCUAACUCCGUG